This 586-nucleotide long non-coding RNA is filed under the name Mus spicilegus (steppe mouse). Its description in RNAcentral is "lncRNA (ENSMSIG00000019977.1)". The record is from RNAcentral. Lineage: Eukaryota; Metazoa; Chordata; Mammalia; Rodentia; Muridae.
CUUGAACAGGAUAUUAGUGGAAAUAUUGCUGUGGUUGUCAGGAAACGCGAGUGCAGCCGCACAGCUACUGCCAGUUAUGCAGCGAGGAUAUCCGGUGGCUGCGAGGUCUGUAAUUUAGAAUAAAAAGCUCUCCCAACACCCGAGAGCCUGACCUCAGCGCCGCGUGGCGGUAAUGCGCUCAGCGCCCUCUGUGGAGACGGUCCAAAUCCUGACAGGUGGGAGAGCUUAGGUUAGACCUUCAAGAGCCCUGCAGAUGGACCUGCAGAAUCAGACUGCAAAAGUGAGCCAGCCACUUGCUAAACGUAGUUGAAGUGGAGGGCACAGAUCGCCUGCCAGUUAAUAUUAAUAAGUAGUGUUUUCCAGGGCAGACUGCUACUUCCGUGUUGGGUUCUUUACAAAGUGGGUAACUGACCGUUAUUCACGAAGCCAGAAGCGUGUAUCUGCAGUACCACGAGGCUGGAGAAGGAUCCAGGACCACACAGCUGUCUUCUUAGAUAAAUCUGACCCACUUGGCCUUCUCUGGAGGGAUGUUUCGUGCUGACUCACGAGCAACAGGAAGAUAAACUGUCCAAGAGCAACAAGAAAA